Molecule: non-coding RNA, 226 nt
Filed under: [Clostridium] innocuum
Lineage: Bacteria; Bacillati; Bacillota; Clostridia; Eubacteriales; Clostridiaceae
Also listed under: 1 other name
Description: Cis-regulator of HTH transcription factor
Rfam family: Cis-regulator of HTH transcription factor
About the family: This element was identified by RNA deep sequencing of Clostridioides difficile 630 where it is located immediately upstream of an uncharacterized HTH-type Transcriptional regulator. Homologues are found widely across firmicutes, consistently located 5' of transcriptional regulators of similar size and sequence, which strongly supports a cis-regulatory function.
Source: RNAcentral
UUUUUUACGCAUAUGUAAUCACCUCACCACAUUUUACUGUUCCUAUUAAUUUUCUGAAAGGUAUAGUAAAACGUAUUGUAUGGUUUAUUAGUUCCUAUUAUGCGUAUCAAAAUCAAAAAGUGCUGCCUAGCGGUAAAUAAAAAAAACCGCUAUCGGCAGUACCACUUUUGCGUACAAAUAUUUCAUUUCUAUUUAAAUAGCGGUUAAAAGCCGCUUUUUCUUUUUU